RNAcentral lists this antisense RNA (69 nucleotides) under Saccharothrix sp. NRRL B-16348. Its description in RNAcentral is "ASpks sRNA". It matches the Rfam family "ASpks TB sRNA". Lineage: Bacteria; Bacillati; Actinomycetota; Actinomycetes; Pseudonocardiales; Pseudonocardiaceae. The record is from RNAcentral.
CUUCACCGACCCCAACCACAACGGCUCCGCACGCUCCGCGCCAUACGUCGCCAACAACGCCUGCGCCUC